GAUGAACGCUGGCGGCGUGCCUAAUACAUGCAAGUCGAGCGAACGGACGAGAAGCUUGCUUCUCUGAUGUUAGCGGCGGACGGGUGAGUAACACGUGGAUAACCUACCUAUAAGACUGGGAUAACUUCGGGAAACCGGAGCUAAUACCGGAUAAUAUUUUGAACCGCAUGGUUCAAAAGUGAAAGACGGUCUUGCUGUCACUUAUAGAUGGAUCCGCGCUGCAUUAGCUAGUUGGUAAGGUAACGGCUUACCAAGGCAACGAUGCAUAGCCGACCUGAGAGGGUGAUCGGCCACACUGGAACUGAGACACGGUCCAGACUCCUACGGGAGGCAGCAGUAGGGAAUCUUCCGCAAUGGGCGAAAGCCUGACGGAGCAACGCCGCGUGAGUGAUGAAGGUCUUCGGAUCGUAAAACUCUGUUAUUAGGGAAGAACAUAUGUGUAAGUAACUGUGCACAUCUUGACGGUACCUAAUCAGAAAGCCACGGCUAACUACGUGCCAGCAGCCGCGGUAAUACGUAGGUGGCAAGCGUUAUCCGGAAUUAUUGGGCGUAAAGCGCGCGUAGGCGGUUUUUUAAGUCUGAUGUGAAAGCCCACGGCCCAACCGUGGAGGGUCAUUGGAAACUGGAAAACUUGAGUGCAGAAGAGGAAAGUGGAAUUCCAUGUGUAGCGGUGAAAUGCGCAGAGAUAUGGAGGAACACCAGUGGCGAAGGCGACUUUCUGGUCUGUAACUGACGCUGAUGUGCGAAAGCGUGGGGAUCAAACAGGAUUAGAUACCCUGGUAGUCCACGCCGUAAACGAUGAGUGCUAAGUGUUAGGGGGUUUCCGCCCCUUAGUGCUGCAGCUAACGCAUUAAGCACUCCGCCUGGGGAGUACGACCGCAAGGUUGAAACUCAAAGGAAUUGACGGGGACCCGCACAAGCGGUGGAGCAUGUGGUUUAAUUCGAAGCAACGCGAAGAACCUUACCAAAUCUUGACAUCCUUUGACAACUCUAGAGAUAGAGCCUUCCCCUUCGGGGGACAAAGUGACAGGUGGUGCAUGGUUGUCGUCAGCUCGUGUCGUGAGAUGUUGGGUUAAGUCCCGCAACGAGCGCAACCCUUAAGCUUAGUUGCCAUCAUUAAGUUGGGCACUCUAAGUUGACCGCCGGUGACAAACCGGAGGAAGGUGGGGAUGACGUCAAAUCAUCAUGCCCCUUAUGAUUUGGGCUACACACGUGCUACAAUGGACAAUACAAAGGGCAGCGAAACCGCGAGGUCAAGCAAAUCCCAUAAAGUUGUUCUCAGUUCGGAUUGUAGUCUGCAACUCGACUACAUGAAGCUGGAAUCGCUAGUAAUCGUAGAUCAGCAUGCUACGGUGAAUACGUUCCCGGGUCU
Molecule: ribosomal RNA, 1372 nt
Filed under: uncultured bacterium
Lineage: Bacteria
Description: bacterial SSU rRNA
Rfam family: Bacterial small subunit ribosomal RNA
Source: RNAcentral